CUACUACAACAUCGAAAGAAGCAUGGUACUUACUUGAAAUGGAGUAUCAAAGAAUAAACAAAGCGAUUACUAGAGGCUGCAAACCAUGCAUAGGAAAUUUGAGAAUUCGCAGAUGAAGCCAUCAGAAUCGGUUCAAGAAUUUUUUUCGAAAGCUGACUUAGUGGUGAAUCAGAUUAAAUCUCUCGGAGAAGAAUUGAUAGACCAAAAGCUUGUUGAGAGAGUUUUACGAUGCCUUUCUCCCAAAUUUGAUCAUGUUGUUGCUGUAAUAAAAGAAUCGAAGGAUUUAUCCAAUUAUUCUCUGAAUGAAUUAAUGGGGCCACUUCAAGCACAUGAGCAGUGCAUCAGCAGAAUGGUAGAGACCCUAUUCAGCAAGCCUUUCAAUCAAAACUUGAUUUGAAGAAGAAAUUAGAUGAGUCUAGUCAAUGGAACUCUAGUCGAGGUCAUGGAAGAUCAUCUUGUGUAAGAGGAAGAGGUAGAAGAAUGAGCAAUGGUCAACAAAGGAACUCAAAUGGAGGUAACAAUUCUAAUUCUUGCUCAUAUUGUAGAAGAUCAAACCACGAUGAUAAAGAUUGUUGGUAUAAGGAGAAGUAUGGCCAAAACAAAAUCAUCCCCAAUGCUAUUAUUGCAAGCGAUACGGUCAUAUUGAGAAAAACUGUUUUAAAAAUGUUGCAAACAAUACCAAUUCCCAGGAAAAGAAAAUGGUUCUGAUGAAAAUUUAUUUCUUGCUUACACAUUUGCUCAUGGUGAUAAGUAUGGGGAGCAAUCAUGUGACUAGCAACAAAUAAUUCUUUGAAGAGAUUGAUGAAUCCAUGAAGACAAAAGUCAGGAUGGGAAACAACAAUCAAGUUCAGGUAUGUGGAAUGGGUACAAUUGCUGUAAUGUCAAAGUUUGGAAAGAAACUGUUACAUGAUGCUUUGUAUGUGCCUGGAUUAGCUCAUAACCUAAUUAGUGGUUGCCAGUUAUUGAAGAAAGACUAUUACGUUGUAUUCAAUGUUGAUGAGUGCUUGAUAUUUGAUAAAAGGAGCAUGUAACUAAUCUAUUCAGCUAUAAAUAGGAGUAGAUAAGAUCUUUCCACUUGUGUUUUUAAAAGUUCCUGUUAAUGCCUUUGAUGUAGUUACUGAUGAUUCUUUUCUUUGGUAUCGAAGAUUUGGAUACCUUAAUUUCAAAGGACUAACCUUGUAAUGCAAAAAAAAUACGGUAAAGUGUAUUCCAAUGAUUAAAGAUGAAAGGCAAAAUUGUGAAGCUUGUAUCUUUAGAAAGCAUUUCUAAAAGAUGUUUCCCAAAGGAAAAUUGUGGAGAGCUCCAAAGCCAUUGAUGUUGGUGCAUGCAGAUGAUUUCUCAAGAAAGAGAUGGGUGUAAUUUUUGAAAGAGAAGUCAGAAGUUUUUAAAUGUUUCAAAAACAAUUCAAAACCAUGGUUAAAAAGGAAAAAAAAAAGAUAUCCCUUAUUAACACUACACCCCAAUCGUGGUGACGAGUUCACAUCCAUAUAAUUUAAUAAUUUUUGCAGCUAUAAUGGCAUCUAAAGGCAACUUACGGCAAGUUAUACUCCACAGCAAAAUAGAGUCACCGAAUGAAAAAAGAACUAUAGUUGUAACUGCUGAAGCAUGCUAAGAGACAAAACCCUUCCUAACAAUUUCUGGGCAGAAGCUGUCGGAGUUGCAUUAGAGCUUUUUAAUAGAUUUCCAACUCAAGUAGUUGAAGGAAUUACUCCUUAUGAACUUUGGUAUAAAUACAAGCCCACUGUAAGUCACUUAAAGAAAUUUGGUUCUAUUGCUUGUGCUUUUGUGCCUAUUGAAUUGAGAAAGAAACUGGAUGAUAAAAGCAUCAAAUGUAUUUUUGUAGGGUAUAAUAAAGAAACUAAAGGCUAUAGGCUUUAUGAUCCUAUUUUAGAAAGGUUAAUUAUAAGUCGUGAUGUAAUUUUCAAUGAAAAUAAUGCUUGGAUUUGGGAAGAUGUUCCUUUGCAGCCUACACAUGUGGUGGAGAUAGCUGAUCUAAAAUCAAAUAGCCUCCAGUAAUAUCCUCUGUCAUCUCUAGAAUCAACAUCAAGAAGAGUAAGAAAUCUUGCUGAAAUUUAUGAGUCAUGUUACUAUGCUUCUAUUACCUUGGAGUCUAGUUGUUUUGAAGAUACAGAAAGAAAGAAAAAUGGUAUUACAAUGGGUAAAGAGAUUAAAGCAAUUGAGAAGAACAAGACGUGGACCUUGAUGGAUUUACCAGAUAGAAAGAAAGCUAUUAGCCUUAAAUGGAUCUACAAGUCUAAACUCAACUCAGGUGGCUCGUUACAAAGGCACAAAGCACAGUUGGUGGCUAAGGGAUAUGCACAAGUUGCAGGUAUCGAUUUCACCGAAACUUAUUCUCCAGUGGUUCAUUUUGAUACUAUUAGAACACUUUUGGCAUUGGCUGCUAAUAGGGAUUGGAUCAUUUAUCAAUUGGACAUAAAAUCUGCUUCUCUUAAUGGUGAUUUGGUGGAAGAAGCAUAUGUUGAAUAGCCCUGAGGAUUUGUGGUGAAAGAUCAAAAACAGAAGGUGUAGAAAUUACAUAAGGCACUCUACGGGCUCAAACAUGCUCCGCGAGCCUGGUAUAGCAAAAUUGACUCAUAUUUUACCAAGAACAAUUUUACAAAAAGUGCUAAUGAGCCUAACUUCUAUGUUAAAAGUUACAAUGGUGAAUUUUUGGCUGCAAGCUUAGACAUUGACGAUAUGAUUUUAACUGGAAGUUCAUUCCAUAUGGUGGAAGCAUUUAAAAAGUCCAUGAUGCAAACUUUUGAUAUGUGUAACUUGGGUUCAUUAAAUGAUGUUGAUGAAUGCUUGAUAUUUGAUAAAAGGAGCAUGCAACUAAUCUAUUCAGCUAUAAAUAGGAGUAGAUAAGAUCUUUC
This 2873-nucleotide long non-coding RNA is filed under the name Olea europaea (common olive). Its description in RNAcentral is "long non-coding RNA (OEUR_LNC004279)". Lineage: Eukaryota; Viridiplantae; Streptophyta; Magnoliopsida; Lamiales; Oleaceae. The record is from RNAcentral.